GGAUAACUACCCUUUAGGACUGGGAUAACCCUGGGAAACUGGGGAUAAUACUAGAUAGGCAAUUUUUCCUGGAAUGGUUUUUUGUUUAAAUGUUUUUUCGCCUAAGGAUGGGUCUGCGGCCGAUUAGGUAGUUGGUUAGGUAACGGCUUACCAAGCCGUUGAUCGGUACGGGUUGUGAGAGCAAGAGCCCGGAGAUGGAACCUGAGACAAGGUUCCAGGCCCUACGGGGUGCAGCAGGCGCGAAACCUCCGCAAUGUGAGAAAUCGCGACGGGGGGAUCCCAAGUGCCAUUCUUAACGGGAUGGCUUUUCAUUAGUGUAAAGAGCUUUUGGAAUAAGGGCUGGGCAAGACCGGUGCCAGCCGCCGCGGUAACACCGGCAGCUCUAGUGGUAGCAGUUUUUAUUGGGCCUAAAGCGUCCGUAGCCGGUUUAAUAAGUCUCUGGUGAAAUCCUGUAGCUUAACUGUGGGAAUUGCUGGAGGUACUAUUAGACUUGAGACCGGGAGAGGUUAGAGGUACUCCCAGGGUAGAGGUGAAAUUCUGUAAUCCUGGGAGGACCGCCUGUUGCGAAGGCGUCUAACUGGAACGGUUCUGACGGUGAGGGACGAAAGUUAGGGGCGCGAACCGGAUUAGAUACCCGGGUAGUCCUAACUGUAAACGAUGCGGACUUGGUGUUGGGGUGGCUUUGAGCUGCUCCAGUGCCGAAGGGAAGCUGUUAAGUCCGCCGCCUGGGAAGUACGGUCGCAAGACUGAAACUUAA
Molecule: ribosomal RNA, 757 nt
Filed under: uncultured archaeon
Lineage: Archaea
Description: bacterial SSU rRNA
Rfam family: Archaeal small subunit ribosomal RNA
Source: RNAcentral